UACGGAGGCAGCUAGCGUUAUUCGGAAUUACUGGGCGUAAAGCGCACGUAGGCGGAUAUUUAAGUCAGGGGUGAAAUCCCAGAGCUCAACUCUGGAACUGCCUCUGAUACUGGGUAUCUUGAGUAUGGAAGAGGUGAGUGGAAUUGCGAGUGUAGAGGUGAAAUUCGUAGAUAUUCGCAGGAACACCAGUGGCGAAGGCGGCUCACUGGUCCAUAACUGACGCUGAGGUGCGAAAGCGUGGGGAGCAAACAGG
RNAcentral lists this ribosomal RNA (253 nucleotides) under uncultured bacterium. RNAcentral describes it as "partial 16S ribosomal RNA". It matches the Rfam family "Bacterial small subunit ribosomal RNA", at positions 524 to 776 of the family's 1533-position model. The record is from RNAcentral.